CAGGAGAGUACAAACAGUAUAGAAAUGGUUUCCUUUUCACCGUUGAAAUCCUUUGCAGUGACAUUCUAGAAAAUGCCGAGAGUCCUCUAUGGGGAGAGUUGGUCACUAUUUUAAAGGUGGCUUGAAAUACAUGGGCUAAUCUAGGAGAGAAGACUAAACCCAGGCUAAGACUAUAAUUGGGAAAGAGUCAGCAGUCACUCCUGUUAGGCAGGAUAGGGGAGAGGGGAACGUUUGAUCAUUUCUGUAGUCAGACAGUGUUCAUGUUUUGUCUGUGUUCAGACAUAGUUACGAAGUGGUCUUGUCUUUGUCUUGGUCCAUCCUGGUCACAGAAUGGCUUCAUCUGAUGUUGACACUCUGUGAAAUGCUUUAUGUUCAACAGGAGAACACCAAGGCCUCACUGAGAGUGUCAGACGAGUCUGGAUGGCAGGGGUUACAUGCUGUCCCUCAACCGAGUGCCAUCUCACCCGGGACCCAUCAUAGCCCAUGCAGGACCCAUCGGUUCAUCUUCUGCUGCAGCGUUCAUAGUUCUAGAGCCUGGACCUUGGAUGCAAAAUUGGUAUUAUUUUCUAAAAAGUCCUGUAUCUUCCAAGUGGAGGUCAUCUGCUGGCACAAGCCGGACUGCACCAUCUGAGUUUCUCACCUUUUGGUCCAUCAGUUCAUUAUAAAAAUGGCAGAAAAAUGUGGUAAAGCAGCAUUGACCUCCCAUGAUCACAGCUGACCACUGACCACAGUGAGUGUCCCCACCCCAUAUAGGGAACUGCUGGUUGAGUCUGUGCGCUGGGUUAUUCAAAGCCCUCUUGCUAA
RNAcentral lists this long non-coding RNA (804 nucleotides) under Ailuropoda melanoleuca (giant panda). RNAcentral describes it as "lncRNA (ENSAMEG00000031100.1)". Lineage: Eukaryota; Metazoa; Chordata; Mammalia; Carnivora; Ursidae. The record is from RNAcentral.